Molecule: small nucleolar RNA, 129 nt
Filed under: Drosophila erecta
Lineage: Eukaryota; Metazoa; Arthropoda; Insecta; Diptera; Drosophilidae
Description: snoRNA:GG25861
Source: RNAcentral
UCUACUCUAAUGCUUGGCAUUGUACCACCAAAAUGCCUCGCUUGUAGACCAGAUCGAGAACCACGUUCGGCACUCGGAUUAACACGAGAAUUGGUCUUCGAAAUAGUUAUUUUUUUUCUUCUAGUGACA